CAGGGGGACAACCCGCCGAAAGGCGGGCUAAACCCGCGUACAUGCCACCGGGGCAUCCCGGAGGCAGGAAAGGCUUCGGCCGGACAGGGAUGGGCAUGCGGCGCAUUAGGCAGUAGGCGGGGUAACGGCCCACCUAACCGACGAUGCGUAGGGGUUCUGAGAGGAAGGUCCCCCACACUGGUACUGAGACACGGACCAGACUCCUACGGGAGGCAGCAGUGAGGAAUAUUGGUCAAUGGUCGGGAGACUGAACCAGCCAAGCCGCGUGAGGGAUGAAGGUACAGAGUAUCGUAAACCUCUUUUGUCAGGGAACAAAGGCGGGGACGUGUCCCCGGAUGAGUGUACCUGAAGAAAAAGCAUCGGCUAACUCCGUGCCAGCAGCCGCGGUAAUACGGAGGAUGCGAGCGUUAUCCGGAUUUAUUGGGUUUAAAGGGUGCGCAGGCGGUCUGUUAAGUCAGCGGUCAAAGCCCGGGGCUCAACCCCGGCCCGCCGUUGAAACUGGCAGUCUCGAGUUGGAGAGAAGUAUGCGGAAUGCGCGGUGUAGCGGUGAAAUGCAUAGAUAUCGCGCAGAACUCCGAUUGCGAAGGCAGCAUGCCGGCUCCACACUGACGCUGAGGCACGAAAGCGUGGGUAUCGAACAGGAUUAGAUACCCUGGUAGUCCACGCAGUAAACGAU
RNAcentral lists this ribosomal RNA (676 nucleotides) under uncultured bacterium. RNAcentral's name for it is "bacterial SSU rRNA". It matches the Rfam family "Bacterial small subunit ribosomal RNA", at positions 136 to 810 of the family's 1533-position model. The record is from RNAcentral.